UACGUAGGGUGCAAGCGUUGUCCGGAAUUAUUGGGCGUAAAGAGCUUGUAGGCGGUUUGUCGCGUCUGCUGUGAAAUUUCGGGGCUCAACCCCGAACUUGCAGUGGGUACGGGCAGACUAGAGUGUGGUAGGGGAGACUGGAAUUCCUGGUGUAGCGGUGAAAUGCGCAGAUAUCAGGAGGAACACCGAUGGCGAAGGCAGCUCACUGGGACGGUACUGACGCUGAGACGCGAAAGCGUGGGGAGCAAACAGG
RNAcentral lists this ribosomal RNA (253 nucleotides) under uncultured bacterium. Its description in RNAcentral is "partial 16S ribosomal RNA". It matches the Rfam family "Bacterial small subunit ribosomal RNA", at positions 524 to 776 of the family's 1533-position model. The record is from RNAcentral.